AACCAAUCGGGGCCCACUUCCGUUGCACGAGUUUUCCAUGCGCGUUAAUUCAACUCCGGCUGAAGGCAGACGAAAGUUUAACAAUAUCGGUGCAUGUCGAAUUAAUAACAACAAGCAGGUCGCACGCCUAGAGAGACCUUCGAUGAAAUGAAAGAAACUUAUGGGGAUCAACGAGGUCGCAGGCUACACUAGAAACCCGUUCACUUUAACAGAAGACGUCUGACUGUCGUUUUCAGAGCUAGGAGCAGACGUCAAACUGACGUUUUCAGGACAGACAUGAGACGUCUGACUGUCGUUUUCAGAGGUAGCAACAGACGUCAAACUGACGAUUUCAGAGAUGACGGCAGACGUCUGACUGUCGGUUUCAAAGCUAGGUGCAGACGUCAAACUGAUCGACGUUUUCAGAGAGGACGGCAGACAAAAGACGAAGCAUAUUUGUCUUGAGCAAGCGGCUGAUCGACAUUUUCGGUACUGACAAAAGACGAAGCAUAAUUGUCUUCGGUUUCAGCAAAAGUAGUAGGCAAAGAACUGUCGAUUUCAGUGUUGCAGUCGAAAAAUAAAAUGUCGUUUUCAGUGCUCCAA
Haliotis rubra (blacklip abalone) is the source of this 582-nucleotide long non-coding RNA. RefSeq lists it as uncharacterized. NCBI's taxonomy places the organism in Eukaryota, Metazoa, Mollusca, Gastropoda, Lepetellida, Haliotidae. The transcript has 3 exons. The record is from RefSeq and is a predicted model, not a curated record.